GCCGGUGCAGCUGAUGACACAACUUUUUUCCCCAUCAGAUCGACCCUGUUGAUCUAACUAAACCUGUAAGCCAGUUUUAUCUGAUGCAUCGAC
Ictidomys tridecemlineatus (thirteen-lined ground squirrel) is the source of this 93-nucleotide small nucleolar RNA. Ensembl annotates it as small nucleolar RNA, C/D box 12. Its record names the gene SNORD12. The record is from Ensembl. NCBI's taxonomy places the organism in Eukaryota, Metazoa, Chordata, Mammalia, Rodentia, Sciuridae.